RNAcentral lists this ribosomal RNA (497 nucleotides) under uncultured bacterium. RNAcentral's name for it is "partial 16S ribosomal RNA". It matches the Rfam family "Bacterial small subunit ribosomal RNA", at positions 899 to 1397 of the family's 1533-position model. The record is from RNAcentral.
ACUCAAAGGAAUUGACGGGGGCCCGCACAAGCGGCGGAGCAUGUUGCUUAAUUCGAUGCAACGCGAAGAACCUUACCUAGGUUGAACUACGCAGGAAAAGCCAUAGAGAUAUGGUGUCCGAAAGGGUCUGCGAUAGGUGGUGCAUGGCUGUCGUCAGCUCGUGUCGUGAGAUGUUGGGUUAAGUCCCGCAACGAGCGCAACCCUUAUUCUAUGUUGCCAGCGGGUAAUGCCGGGGACUCGUAGAAGACUGCCGGGGUCAACUCGGAGGAAGGUGGGGAUGACGUCAAGUCAUCAUGCCCCUUAUGCCUAGGGCUGCAAACAUGCUACAAUGGCUGGUACAAAGGGCUGCUAUUCCGCGAGGAUGAGCGAAUCCCAUAAAGCCAGUCUCAGUUCGGAUUGGAGUCUGCAACUCGACUCCAUGAAGUCGGAGUCGCUAGUAAUCCCGGAUCAGCAAUGCCGGGGUGAAUACGUUCCCGGGCCUUGCACACACCGCCCGU